Molecule: ribosomal RNA, 2261 nt
Filed under: Mesotaenium pyrenoidosum
Lineage: Eukaryota; Viridiplantae; Streptophyta; Zygnematophyceae; Zygnematales; Mesotaeniaceae
Description: Fottea pyrenoidosa partial 23S ribosomal RNA
Rfam family: Bacterial large subunit ribosomal RNA
Source: RNAcentral
ACAUAGGCGGGCAAGAGACAACCUGGUGAACUGAAACAUCUUAGUAGCCAGAGGAAAAGAAAGCAAAAGCGAUUCCCUGAGUAGUGGCGAGCGAAACGGGAACAGCCUAAACCGCUCAUAAGAGCGGGGUUGUGGGGGAGCGUUUCAAGCCAAGGGUCACUAGGCGAAGCAUCUGAAUAAUGCGCCAUAGAUGGUGAUAGCCCAGUAACCAAAAGUACCUGCGGCUUGUGCUCUAACCCGAGUAGCAUGGGGCACGUGGAACCCCGUGUGAAUCAGCGAGGACCACCUCGUAAGGCUAAAUACUCCUGGGUGACCGAUAGCGAAGUAGUACCGUGAGGGAAAGGUGAAAAGAACCCCCAUCGGGGAGUGAAACAGACCAUGAAACCGUAGGCCUCCAAGCAGUGGGAGGAGAAUGGAAUCUCUGACCGCGUGCCUGUUGAAGAAUGAGCCGGCGACUUAUAGGCAGUGGCCUGGUUAAGGGAAUACCGGAGCCGUAGCGAAAGCGAGUCAUCCUAGGGCGUAUGUCACUGUUUAUGGACCCGAACCCGGGUGAUCUAACCAUGGCCAGGGUGAAGCUUGGGUGAAGCCAAGUGGAGGCCCGAACCGACUGAUGUUGAAAAAUCAGCGGAUGAGCUGUGGUUAGGGGUGAAAUGCCACUCGAACUCGGAGCUAGCUGGUUCUCCCCGAAAUGCGUUGAGGCGCAGCGGUUGACUGGACUGCCUAGGGGUAAAGCACUGUUUCGGUGCGGGCUGCGAGAGCGGUACCAAAUCGAGGCAAACUCUGAAUACUAGGCAUAGUCAUGGGUCAGCCAGUGAGACGGUGGGGGAUAAGCUCCAUCGUCGAGAGGGAAACAGCCCAGAUCACCAGCUAAGGCCCCUAAAUGGCCGCUAAGUGGCAAAGGAGGUGAGAGUGCAAAGACAGCCAGGAGGUUUGCCUAGAAGCAGCCACCCUUGAAAGAGUGCGUAAUAGCUCACUGAUCGAGCGCUCUCGCGCCGAAGAUGAACGGGACUAAGCGGUCUGCCGAGGCUGUGGGAUGUCUUCUUUGAUAUAAGACAUCGGUAGGGGAGCGUUCCGCGUUAGGCUGAAGCAUUAGCGCAAGCAGGUGUGGACGAGGCGGAAGCGAGAAUGUCGGCUUGAGUAACGCAAACAUUGGUGAGAAUCCAAUGCCCCGAAAACCCAAGGGUUCCUCCGCAAGGCUCGUCCACGGGGGGUUAGUCAGGGCCUAAGAUCAAGCCGAACGGCGCAGUCGAUGGACAACAGGUCAAGAUUCCUGUACUGCUUCUUGCUGAAAGAAGAGGGACGGAGGAGGCUAGGUUAGCCAAGUUGGUUAUACGCUUGUACCAAUGCCACACUCCCAAGAAAAGCUCUUCCGCUUCGGUUUCCGAGGCAGCAAGUGAGUACCUGUACCCAAAACCGACACAGGUGGGUAGGUAGAGAAUACCUAGGGGCGCGNNNNNACUCUCUCUAAGGAACUCGGCAAGAUGGCCCCGUAACUUCGGRAGAAGGGGUGCCUCCCUUUCACGGGAGGCCGCAGUGACCAGGCCCAGGCGACUGUUUACCAAAAACACAGGUCUCCGCAAAGUCGUAAGACGACGUAUGGGGGCUGACGCCUGCCCAGUGCCGGAAGGUUAAGGAAGUCGGUGACCCGAAAACGGGGAAGCUGGCGACCGAAGCCCCGGUGAACGGCGGCCGUAACUAUGACGGUCCUAAGGUAGCGAAAUUCCUUGUCGGGUAAGUUCCGACCCGCACGAAAGGCGUAACGAUCUGGGCACUGUCUCGGAGAGAGACUCGGUGAAAUAGACUUGUCUGUGAAGAUGCGGACUACCUGCACCUGGACAGAAAGACCCUAUGAAGCUUUACUGUUCCCUGGGAUGGGCUUUGGGCCUCUCUUGCGCAGCUUAGGUGGAAGGCAGAGACGGUAUCCUUCCGGGGAUACUCGAGCCGCCAAUGAGACACCACCCUAGAGGGGCUAGGAUUCUAACCUUAGACCUAGAAGAAGGAUAGGGGACAGUCCCAGGCAGACAGUUUCUAUGGGGCGUAGGCCUCCCAAAGGGUAACGGAGGCGUGCAAAGGUUCCCUCAGGCUGGACGGAAAUCAGCCUUCGAGUGCAAAGGCAGAAGGGAGCUUGACUGCGAGACCCACAUGUCGAGCAGGGACGAAAGUCGGCCUUAGUGAUCCGACGGUGCCGAGUGGAAGGGCCGUCGCUCAACGGAUAAAAGUUACUCUAGGGAUAACAGGCUGAUCUUCCCCAAGAGUUCACA